Non-coding RNA from Mycena rosella, 92 nucleotides. The record is from the annotation of a GenBank genome assembly. NCBI's taxonomy places the organism in Eukaryota, Fungi, Basidiomycota, Agaricomycetes, Agaricales, Mycenaceae.
AGCAGUAUGGUGUAUUGCGCACACGGGGUAUUCAUAGUCGCUUAUCGGUCGACCUUCACCCCGAGGUCCUUGUUCGAAUCAAGGUGCUGCUC